AUUGAACGCUGGCGGCAGGCCUAACACAUGCAAGUCGAGCGAGCGGCGGACGGGUGAGUAAUGUAUGGGAACCUGCCCGAUAGCGGGGGAUAACUACUGGAAACGGUGGCUAAUACCGCAUACUAUCGGAUGAACCCAUAUGGGAUUAGCUAGUAGGUGGGGUAAAGGCUCACCUAGGCCACGAUCCCUAGCUGGUCUGAGAGGAUGACCAGCCACACUGGGACUGAGACACGGCCCAGACUCCUACGGGAGGCAGCAGUGGGGAAUAUUGCACAAUGGGGGCAAGCCUGAUGCAGCCAGGCCGCGUGUAUGAAGAAGGACUUCGGGUUGUAAAGUACUUUUAGCGGGGAGGCGUUACCCGCAGAAGAAGCACCGGCUAACUACGUGCCAGCAGCCGCGGUAAUAC
Molecule: ribosomal RNA, 406 nt
Filed under: uncultured bacterium
Lineage: Bacteria
Description: partial 16S ribosomal RNA
Rfam family: Bacterial small subunit ribosomal RNA
Source: RNAcentral